This is a long non-coding RNA of Wyeomyia smithii (pitcher-plant mosquito), 1056 nucleotides long. RefSeq lists it as uncharacterized. NCBI's taxonomy places the organism in Eukaryota, Metazoa, Arthropoda, Insecta, Diptera, Culicidae. The record is from RefSeq and is a predicted model, not a curated record. The transcript is spliced from 3 exons.
AUAAAAGCUUAUUGUGAGACAUUUCCGUUUGAGUCGCACGUUAAAACGGUUCACAGUCCGAUCCUGUAAAACGGACAGAGUACCAGAAAAAUUAAUGUAACAUAGAAGAUUGAGAGUGCUGAAAAACAUCACAAAAAAAAGCAGUUAGAGAAGAAGAGAAAAAAAUCGAAAAGCGUGAAGAAUUUGUUAACGGGGAAAAGAUCUCGAAUAGUCCAGGUAUCCUUCGAACGAAGGAUUCGGUUGGGGCUUACAAAAUCACGGCAGCCGCCCGCUCCCUUCACGUGCAAUUCGUGUUCAUAACCUCGCAAUCUGGUUAGAUCGGAAGAACUACCGGGUGACGUGUAGUUGACAAGAUCUUGGAGACGGAAUAAAGCAAAAUUGUCAAACCGGGCUGUUCAGUAACAAAAAAUCAACCAACGUGACGACCAGUGUCGUGGGAAGCUAUACUACGGGUACUGCCAGCCUCCCGCCCGCAGCCAGAUAUAGAUUGUCGCAUUUGUGCGCCCCCCGACCGCAUCAAGUAGUUUCAUCGACCACCCACGGCUGUACCUACGCGCAUCGCCAACAUCGUUCACCCGAAUCCCGCUAGCGUGGAUGAACCAGCAUCACCCCACGUCGAAACGAAGACUGAGGUGAGAAAAACACGAAAAAGUUCAGGUCCAAGAAAACCACCAAAAGUAGAACUUCAGGCGUAUAGGUCAAUGGAGCGUUGAUUAAAAAUGGGAAAUUAUCAUGUAUAAGUUUUUAUUUGAUUUCGGUGCGCAUUCCUUAGAAUGGAGUAACUUUCAGUAGGUCUGUUGUUAGUUGGUUAGUCAGAUGAGUGCCGUUCGGAAUAAACAACCCUAGAGUCUCACCGGGCUUUUAACCAUUGCGGCUUCGCGGCAGUUUUCCCUGCCUGGCGCAUAAGCGAAGUCUGUUGCUACCCUCCCACGCACGUUACAAAUUCUAUGAAUUUAUCAAUCAAUGGUGAAAUUCGUUUAUUAAUUUCUUGCUUCUUCACAUCUACCUUUUUAACCAUUCCGGCUACAAAAACAUGUGUAAGUUUAGCAAGAAACU